Molecule: long non-coding RNA, 603 nt
Organism: Notothenia coriiceps (black rockcod)
Lineage: Eukaryota; Metazoa; Chordata; Actinopteri; Perciformes; Nototheniidae
Exons: 4
Source: RefSeq, a predicted model, not a curated record
GUUCUGCUUAAUGAAGUGAAACUUUUGCUCUGGCCAAGAUGUCCUCCAGAACAACAGCACCCUCAGCACUGGUGCUGGCUUUCUAGGAAGCAACAUUUCACCUGGGCUUUAACAGGCCCUGUGAUUGUUAUCCUCGCAGUUGAUUGUGUUCAAGAUCUUGGCCCGGUUCGUCAUACUGGGCUGUACCUGGAUGCUGGGUCUCUACCAGUUAAACCUUUGCUUCCGGGUCCUCUUCAUAAUUCUUAACUCCCAGCAGGGCACCUUCCUCUUCAUCGUCCACUGUGCGCUCAACAAGGAGAGAGAUGCACCUUCGAUCUGAGGAUUUGGACACGGAGGAGGGUAAAAAAUGAUGACUCCUGAUGAAAUAAGAGGGAGAACUGAGACUGAAUCAUCAGAUUGGAGUUAUGAUUUAAAUUUGUAUAAAUUCUAGUUUGAUGUAAAAAAAAAAUGUCUACAUAAUAAAUAUAUCCUUGUCUGUCUCUUAUAGAUCUAGCAGUCAUAUUUUAAAGUCUCAAACAGUUGGUGAGACUGUUUUUAAAUGCCAUUUUCUUAAUGUCUUUCAUUUAUUUAUAAAUAAACUUGCCUUGCCUAGUGCUGACAUUU